CAGGCCUAACACAUGCAAGUCGAGCGGGGUGAUGUAGCUUGCUACAUUACCUAGCGGCGGACGGGUGAGUAAUGCUUAGGAAUCUGCCUAUUAGUGGGGGACAACAUUCCGAAAGGAAUGCUAAUACCGCAUACGCCCUACGGGGGAAAGCAGGGGAUCUUCGGACCUUGCGCUAAUAGAUGAGCCUAAGUCAGAUUAGCUAGUUGGUGGGGUAAAGGCCUACCAAGGCGACGAUCUGUAGCGGGUCUGAGAGGAUGAUCCGCCACACUGGGACUGAGACACGGCCCAGACUCCUACGGGAGGCAGCAGUGGGGAAUAUUGGACAAUGGGCGAAAGCCUGAUCCAGCCAUGCCGCGUGUGUGAAGAAGGCCUUUUGGUUGUAAAGCACUUUAAGCGAGGAGGAGGCUACUUAGAUUAAUACUCUAGGAUAGUGGACGUUACUCGCAGAAUAAGCACCGGCUAACUCUGUGCCAGCAGCCGCGGUAAU
RNAcentral lists this ribosomal RNA (487 nucleotides) under uncultured bacterium. RNAcentral describes it as "bacterial SSU rRNA". It matches the Rfam family "Bacterial small subunit ribosomal RNA", at positions 43 to 524 of the family's 1533-position model. The record is from RNAcentral.